UACGUAGGUGACCAGCGUUGUCCGGAUUUACUGGGCGUAAAGAGCGCGCAGGCGGUCGUUCAAGUCGAGUGUGAAAGCCCCCGGCUCAACUGGGGAGGGUCAUUCGAUACUGAUCGACUCGAAGGCAGGAGAGGGAAGCGGAAUUCCCGGUGUAGUGGUGAAAUUCGUAGAUAUUGGGAAGAACACCGGUGGCGAAGGCGGCGACCUGGUCCAUUACUGACGCUGAGGCGCGACAGCGUGGGGAGCAAACAGG
RNAcentral lists this ribosomal RNA (253 nucleotides) under uncultured bacterium. Its description in RNAcentral is "partial 16S ribosomal RNA". It matches the Rfam family "Bacterial small subunit ribosomal RNA", at positions 524 to 776 of the family's 1533-position model. The record is from RNAcentral.